GCGUAAGUGUUUAAGGGCGCAUGGUGGAUGCCUUGGCAUCAGAGGCCGAUGAAGGACGUAGGAGGCUGCGAUAAGCCUCGGGGAGCUGCCAACCGAGCUUUGAUCCGAGGAUGUCCGAAUGGGGAAACCCAGCACGAGUGAUGUCGUGUUACCCACAUCUGAAUAUAUAGGGUGUGGGAGGUAACGCGGGGAAGUGAAACAUCUCAGUACCCGUAGGAAGAGAAAACAAUUGUGAUUCCGUGAGUAGUGGCGAGCGAAAGCGGAUGAGGCUAAACCGCAUGCAUGUGAUACCGGGUAGGGGUUGUGUGUGCGGGGUUGUGGGACCCAUCUUUCCAGGGCUAUCCCUCUGGAGGGCAGUAAAAAAAUGUCGUGGUUAACGGAAGUGGCUUGGGAUGGCCUGCCGUAGAGGGUGAGAGUCCCGUACGUGAAAACCCGAUGUCUGCCUUGAUGGUGUUCCCGAGUAGCAGCGGGCCCGUGAAAUCUGCUGUGAAUCUGCCGGGACCACUCGGUAAGCCUAAAUACCUUCUGAUGACCGAUAGCGGAUUAGUACCGUGAGGGAAUGGUGAAAAGUACCCCGGGAGGGGAGUGAAAUAGUACCUGAAACCGUGUGCCUACAAUCCGUCAGAGCCCUCGAAUGCGUGGGGUGAUGGCGUGCCUUUUGAAGAAUGAGCCUGCGAGUCAGGGACAUGUCGCGAGGUUAACCCGUGGGGGGUAGCCGUAGCGAAAGCGAGUCUGAAUAGGGCGUAUCCCGUAAGGGUGUAGUGGCGUGUUCUGGACCCGAAGCGGAGUGAUCUACCCAUGGCCAGGGUGAAGCGCGGGUAAGACCGCGUGGAGGCCCGAACCCACUUAGGUUGAAGACUGAGGGGAUGAGUUGUGGGUAGGGGUGAAAGGCCAAUCAAACUCCGUGAUAGCUGGUUCUCCCCGAAAUGCAUUUAGGUGCAGCGUUGCGUGUUUCACCACGGAGGUAGAGCUACUGGAUGGCCGAUGGGCCCUACUAGGUUACUGACGUCAGCCAAACUCCGAAUGCCGUGGUGUAUAGCGUGUCAGUGAGACGGCGGGGGAUAAGCUCCGUACGUCGAAAGGGAAACAGCCCAGAUCGCCGGCUAAGGCCCCUAAGCGUGUGCUAAGUGGAAAAGGAUGUGCAGUCGCAAAGACAACCAGGAGGUUGGCU
This 1171-nucleotide ribosomal RNA is filed under the name Puia sp. Its description in RNAcentral is "partial 23S ribosomal RNA". It matches the Rfam family "Bacterial large subunit ribosomal RNA", at positions 1 to 1106 of the family's 2925-position model. Lineage: Bacteria; Pseudomonadati; Bacteroidota; Chitinophagia; Chitinophagales; Chitinophagaceae. The record is from RNAcentral.